CAGUCGGCCCUAGAGUCCCCGGCGCGCACUUAUCGCUCUAGAUAUCUUGGCGCUUCCGAGUCCCCAGGGACUGGGCCGUGGUGGGAGAGGGAAAAGCACUGGACUAGCGGCGAGGACGCUCCUCGGUGAGGCGGAGGAAGGCCGGCCUUGAGAUGUAAAGGGCGCUGACAUAUUUGGGCGUCUCUUACAGUGUCUCUCCUGGCUUCGGAGCCUCGCCUUCCGCCGACGGGGUUUGCCUGGCUGUGGAGGGAGGGAUGUGGGCCGAGUGGAUGGCCUGGCCUCUCCGGUGUGACAGGUCCGUCACCACCCACCCGUCCCCGGGGCCCGGCGGCCUUUAGCCUUCGGUGCGUGGUCGGGCUUGGCGGCUCCAGGGCUGGGAGUUACAGUCCUUCCCUUCCGUGAGGGCGGGAAGAGCGAAAUGGUUCUGCCCGACAGGACAAGCAUCUGAGCUCCUUUGGAAAGGACGCCCAUCUUUCAUACUGUACACUGGAAUUCAGAAAGAGCUAGAGGGACAAAUUGUAGACGUUUCCUAAGAAAAUAAAGGACUGGAAUUCAUGGAUUUGCUCAAACCUCUCCCUUGCUGCAGACACUGAGCCUGCACCACCUCUUCAGCCCACCACGGACGAGGCCUGUGUGUGUCUUUCAGGUGCGUGAAGACCUCAGGAGCCAAGAGAGUCAUAAAUGUGUUUUCUUGGAAUCGCACACUAAAAGUUCCAGAACAUUCAUGCAGUUUUCCAGGUCUUCACCUGUUGUCAGUUUGCACCAGCUGCUUCUCUCCACCUAACUCUGGGGUCCUUCCUGGGAAGUUAGUCCAACAGAGAAGCCACCACCCACAGGAAGUCCGGGCGCACGCUGAGCAGUGGACAGAGGCCGACACUUGAGGAUGGAAAAGAGAGGCCCUGGCUGAAGAUCUGAAAUAACACCGACCUUAGCGCAUCGUAGUUGUCUCUUCUGACUUGGCGAACACAUUUAAUCCGCCGCCGCCAGAACAGCUCCUCAUACGCCUAUCGGC
Molecule: long non-coding RNA, 1012 nt
Organism: Camelus dromedarius (Arabian camel)
Lineage: Eukaryota; Metazoa; Chordata; Mammalia; Artiodactyla; Camelidae
Exons: 5
Source: RefSeq, a predicted model, not a curated record